Molecule: ribosomal RNA, 1178 nt
Filed under: uncultured organism
Description: bacterial SSU rRNA
Rfam family: Bacterial small subunit ribosomal RNA
Source: RNAcentral
UGAACGCUGGCGGUCUGCUUAACACAUGCAAGUCGAACGCAACCUUCGGGUUGAGUGGCGGACGGGUGAGUAACGCGUGAGAAUCUGCCUUGGGGUCGGGGACAACCACUGGAAACGGUGGCUAAUACCGGAUAAGCCUUUGGGUAAAAAAUUUAUUGCCCCAAGAGGAGCUCGCGUCUGAUUAGCUAGUUGGUGAGGUAAAAGCUCACCAAGGCAGCGAUCAGUAGCUGGUCUGAGAGGACGAUCAGCCACACUGGGACUGAGACACGGCCCAGACUCCUACGGGAGGCAGCAGUGGGGAAUUUUCCGCAAUGGGCGAAAGCCUGACGGAGCAAGACCGCGUGAGGGAGGAAGGCUCUUGGGUUGUAAACCUCUUUUCUCAGGGAAGAAGCUCUGACGGUACCUGAGGAAUCAGCCUCGGCUAACUCCGUGCCAGCAGCCGCGGUAAUACGGAGGAGGCAAGCGUUAUCCGGAAUUAUUGGGCGUAAAGCGUCCGCAGGUGGCGAUUCAAGUCUGCUGUCAAAGCACGGGGCUUAACUCCGUUAAGGCAGUGGAAACUGAAUAGCUAAAGUGCCGUAGGGGUAGAGGGAAUUCCCGGUGUAGCGGUGAAAUGCGUAGAGAUCGGGAAGAACAUCGGUGGCGAAAGCGCUCUACUGGACGGCAACUGACACUCAGGGACGAAAGCUAGGGGAGCGAAUGGGAUUAGAUACCCCAGUAGUCCUAGCUGUAAACGAUGGAUACUAGGUGUAGCUUGUAUCGACCCGAGCUGUGCCGAAGCUAACGCGUUAAGUAUCCCGCCUGGGGAGUACGCACGCAAGUGUGAAACUCAAAGGAAUUGACGGGGGCCCGCACAAGCGGUGGAGUAUGUGGUUUAAUUCGAUGCAACGCGCAGAACCUUACCAGGGCAUGACAUGUCACGGAAUCCCGAUGAAAGAUGGGAGUGCCUUCGGGAGCCGGAACACAGGUGGUGCAUGGCUCUCGUCAGCUCGUGUCAUGAGAUGUUGGGUUAAGUCCCGCAACGAGCGCAUCCCUCGUCUUUAGUUGCCAGCAUUAAGUUGGUCACUCUAGAGAGACUGCCGCUGACAGAGCCGGAGGAAGGUGGGGAUGACGUCAAGUCAGCAUGCCCCUUACGCUCUGGGCGACACACGUACUACAAUGGUCGGGACAGAGGGCAGCGA